This is a long non-coding RNA of Lineus longissimus, 2466 nucleotides long. RefSeq lists it as uncharacterized. The transcript has 3 exons. Lineage: Eukaryota; Metazoa; Nemertea; Pilidiophora; Heteronemertea; Lineidae. The record is from RefSeq and is a predicted model, not a curated record.
CUUUACAAAUCAGCUUGUUACAGCUUUAAUGAGAAAGAUGAUGGACGUUGAGAUCACAGCAGUGCCAGAACAAUCAAUAGAGGUCAUUGGAACUAAAACCAAUCGAGGAGAAUAACUGAGCCCUUUGUAAAGCAAUCAUGCUGCGCGGAGACACUGAUUGGUUGCCCACAGUCGAGCAUGCCCUGAACGACAUCGAUGCUUCCGACUGACAUUUUCAAGUGAGGAGAUUGUAACAUUGUGGUGUUCGGCCGGCAGCGACAAGUGGUUGUAGCAACUUUGUGAGGGACGUGCCAUAUUUAUGCAAUCAUAGCAGGAAAAGAUGUGAUGGAAGGAAAUUCUGUUUCAUCUAGUAAAUGCAGGACUCAAGCUUUUUACAUCUGUGGCAACUGAUUGGAUUUAUCUCAUUUUCAAAUUGCCUAUGUUAUCGGUGCAACAGCUCUACACCACAACAGAUUGGCAGGGUACUGACAGAUGAUCACCUGGAGGCAGCAAUUUCCCAAAUGGGUGCAAUAAACGUAACCAGUUGGAUUAUUGCAAUCAGUGGACAAGUUUUUCUUCCUGUGACUGACUGGUGACUGGCGCUAGCCCAGCUUAUCAACCAGUUGGAGUCAGUUUUAACGGAAGAGCAGUGAACAGCGCAGCCAUCACAUUUGGCACCGCUAUGACAGUGAGAGGUGUGAAGGAAUUAAUUGUCUAUCAAAGACACAAACACCGCUACACACCAUUGUAACAUGUGUAAUGAAUGCCACAGGCUGUUGAAGUCAUCACCACACACCACUGUAACAUGUGUAAUGAAUGCCACAGACUGCCGCAGUCAUGGCAGACUGUUCAGUUGUAAUCUCCAUUGUGAUAAGCAGACAACAGCUGAACAAUCAGCAUAGCAGUUCGUCUGCUUUGGUUACUGGAUACUGACAAUCAGUUCAAUAGAGGACUAUGUAAAUGGAAUAAUAAUCAAUAACUUUAUCAAUAACUUGAGAUAUGAGGUCCAAGUAUCAAAACCGCAUUGGCACUUUCACUCUGACUGCUUUUUAGAAUUAAUGGUUAGACAACUUCUUCCAAUCAUGAAAGACAUUGCCGAUGAUUAUGUGCCAAAGGACAACAAGCAUGGAAUCUUACCAGCCAUAAGAUUGGUUGGAAAUAUAUAUCGUGACGCUAAGUAUUGGGAUUAACCAUAAAUGGAAUUUCAGGCAACAAACCUGGUCACAACUGGAUAUGUCAAGGAAUUGCUAAUCAUACUGAUGAUAAACUUAUAAAGCAAAUACCAUAAUAGUUGUCCCUACGUGAAGAAUUUCCGUGUCUGCGGAAAGAAUUUCUGCACCUGUCGAUGUCAGUAGAUGAAACCUGCUGCUUCAUUAUUGGACAUAUUCUGGGAAUGUUAAAAAAUUCUUGUGACAGCUAGAUCUACAAGUAGAAUACCAUACUAAAGCUGUUGUAGAGAACGACGCACUAGGAUUACUUCCUAGCAAUCAUCACUGCACAUCUUCAGGAUAGAACUUAUUGGAUGUGAGGAGGCUGAACUGUAGGCGAUGUUAUUGUGACUGACAGAAUAGUGUCAUUCUAAUUCCGCAGUAACAAAAUAAGAGUGGUCAAUAUUGAGCUGGAGAGAAAGAUCGAUGCAGAUUAGAGGGUCAACAGGCCAAUGAUUGAUAUAGGAUGCUGACUGUCGGUGGAUUCAUAUACUGAGAGGAGCCGGGCAUCGGAGACGAUAUUCAGCAAGAGGUGGACAAAAAUAGAGGGUGGAGUACCACAAAACACUGGUUCAUUCGACUGGAUUACAUCACACCUUACGGAACGAAAGGAAUCAAGUAUGGAUCUGUCUAUGCUAGAUCAUCACAUCAUAGAGAACUUGGAAAAUAAGACAGUCAACUGUUCAAACUCGGAUUUAGAACAUAUGACCAUUGGAAUAUACGCUCAAUUAAGAUUCCAGGUGUAUUUCGUGCUUGUCGGGCUGAUAUGCUGCUUUGGCAUUGUGGGUAAUUCAUUGACGGUUAUCGUGUUUCACAAGGAUAAACAAAGCAUAACAACGGGAUUUCUGCUCCAGUGUUUAGCAGUUAGUGAUAUGGUGACAUUAAGUUGUAUGUUCUUGCAUCAAACGUUACCAGCAUUGUACCCGUACACUGGUAAACUGCAAGGAUACUAUCACGUAUCAACUUACAUCAUUCCAUAUAUCUGGCCUCUCCGGCUGAUCGCCAAUACAUGCUCAUUGUUUAUUAUCACAAUCGUAACAGUUGAUCGUUAUAUCCGGGUUGUCCUCAGUAUGACCUCAUCAAAAUGGAUAAAAAUUCUUAAAUAUACGAAAACAAUUUUAGUAAUUGCCAUAAUGCUGGCCAUCGCGAUAAAUGUGCCACGAUUCUUUGCUCUGAAGUCUGAAACUGUUCUGGAUGUUUGCAGUGGAGAGUAUAUUCCAUAUACGAAUCUUACGAAAUUCUACGUCAACUAUAAACUUCUUCUCUAUACGAUUGAUGU